Lutra lutra (Eurasian river otter) is the source of this 666-nucleotide long non-coding RNA. RefSeq lists it as uncharacterized. NCBI's taxonomy places the organism in Eukaryota, Metazoa, Chordata, Mammalia, Carnivora, Mustelidae. The record is from RefSeq and is a predicted model, not a curated record. The transcript is spliced from 2 exons.
UGCACCUGCGGGCAUUGAACAACCCGGGUUCUUCUUGUGGCCCUGGCAACAGCAGGUGCUGAGGAAACACUGGCUGAGCCCAGCCCAGCAGCGCCCUGCACGGAUUCCCCUCAUCCCAUCUGCCCCAGAGGGGCGAAGCGGAGAAAAUCAAGAGGGUCCUGAGAUCCCUCUGGGAACAGGGCAGCCGCUCUGGCACAGAACCUUCCAGGGCUGAUUACUCACACACACACAGCCGUCUCCUUUUGGAGCCAGCACUCGAGAGGCCGGGAUAAAACUCCACCGGAUGAAUAAAAAUGCCGACCGACUGCCAGCCAUCAGCAGGGAUCCCAGUUUGAGUCCUCAGGGACCACCUGGGGCUCCUCCCACCCUGCAAUGACAUCCCUCUGACAGCAGGACUCCCCAGAAUUAGAGACCCGUGUGGCUCAGCGACACUCGGUCAGCAAACACUGCUGCCUUGGUUCUGGGCGGCAGCGGAGCACUGGCCUCUUCUGCUCGCCCCUGGACCUCCCCCCCGCCCCGUCAGAGGCAGUGAGGAAGGAGCUGGACUCUCCAGGGACCCAGACCUGGGAUGGGCUCCCUGACCACUGCUAUGCCUCAGUUUCCCUACAUUUACAAGCUAAUUGUUCCUCUCCCAGCUGCAAUGCAUAUUAAACAAGUGAAUACACA